This 20-nucleotide microRNA is filed under the name Monodelphis domestica (gray short-tailed opossum). Its description in RNAcentral is "mdo-miR-12318-3p". Lineage: Eukaryota; Metazoa; Chordata; Mammalia; Didelphimorphia; Didelphidae. The record is from miRBase by way of RNAcentral.
UGGUUCUAGAUCAGUAAACA